GACCUUUCUUAUGAAUUAAAUCAUAGCCUCUAGUGGCGGGAUCUCGGCACUGGUAUCUUUUUUACUGCUCCUAGGGAAUUCUAAUGUUCCUGCAAGACUGAGAGCUCUUGGUCGAAUCUUGAUCUGGCAAGUUUCUGUGCAGAGCGUCUGAAUGCCUGCGUGGGUUUUGCACACGCCUGGCAGUGCGUGUGCGCCCAGCGGUCCGGCCACCGUCUGGCCGUGCGCCUUAGCGAUGUCUGAAUGGGGUCAGUGGGCUGGCGUGGACCUCAUUCUGCUUGGGAGGCAAAGGUCAGGCUUCCAGGGAAGGGACUCAAGACAAUAACUACGAGUAUUUACUAUCAGUUGAUCAUCCAGCUCUGUGCUAAAGGCUUUGAAAAAAUCAAGAAAGGUAGAAGAGAUCGUGCCUGCCUAUAGUAGCUGUCAGUGUAGUCACAGAUGUAAGAAGACAGAGGGCCAGAGGAUGCUAGAGCAAGCAGGUCACUGAUUGAGCCACGGGGCCCAGACACAGGUAAUGUCCUCAUUUGCUCUAGACUCUUCGAAGUGGAGACAGUUGGACCAAACUCCUCAUGGCAAAGGAAACCUUGGAUGAGGAAGUGAGAGGCGGG
RNAcentral lists this long non-coding RNA (605 nucleotides) under Fukomys damarensis (Damara mole-rat). RNAcentral's name for it is "lncRNA (ENSFDAG00000032969.1)". Lineage: Eukaryota; Metazoa; Chordata; Mammalia; Rodentia; Bathyergidae. The record is from RNAcentral.